Molecule: long non-coding RNA, 624 nt
Filed under: Monodelphis domestica (gray short-tailed opossum)
Lineage: Eukaryota; Metazoa; Chordata; Mammalia; Didelphimorphia; Didelphidae
Description: lncRNA (ENSMODG00000017614.2)
Source: RNAcentral
UUUUAUGAAUUUAUGAUUCAGGGUUCAGGGUCUCCUACGGUCCCCCUUUCCCAUUUCUCCACACCUCCUUGACCCCCCCCCCCCCCCCCCGCAGCGCUUCUUCUAUCCAGAGUAGUGCACGCCCUGUAGACAUCGGAGCUUGUGCACGCGCAACGGGCUUCCUUUCGAGAUUAGGGUGCGCGCUAUGUGCUGCCAAAUAGACCCUUUGUGUACGCGCUGUGGGUCUGGAGGAUGGCUCCGAUCUGAAUAGAGCUCAACAGGUGGAACUGCAUAAGGAGGAUACCAGCAGAGACCAGCUUGACAAUAGGAAAGAACUUCCUUGGGGAGCAAAAUUGGAACUGCCACCUAUGGUCAUAGAGCCAGACAGGAUGGCUCCGAUCUGAAUAGAGCUCAACAGGUGGAACUGCAUAAGGAGGAUACCAGCAGAGACCAGCUUGACAAUAGGAAAGAACUUCCUUGGGGAGCUAAAUUGGAACUGCCACCUAUGGUCAUAGAGCCAGACAGGUAGUGGAGAGAUUUCUAUCAUUUCCAUUGCCUGAGAGGGAUGUCCAAUAAUAAUUCCUUUCUUGGCUUCUAUUUUUAAUAUUAAAGGGAUUUCUCAACCCCAGGACGAAUAUUUUUUUC